Non-coding RNA from Equus caballus (horse), 1158 nucleotides. The record is from RefSeq and is a predicted model, not a curated record. Lineage: Eukaryota; Metazoa; Chordata; Mammalia; Perissodactyla; Equidae.
GCUGCCUGGUCUGCGGUAUUUUGUUAUGGCAGCCUGAGCAGACCAAUACAGUGCUCUGAGGAAAGGUUAUUUAACUCCGGCACCCGAGGAUCAGCUGCACAGCCUCGCGUCUUCUUGGAACAUCCCAGGGCGCUCAGCCCUUAGCAUCCGGUUGAGAUGGGAUGCCACUCUAGCAAGAGCACCAAGGUUGUGGGGGAGUCUCAGGAAUCUGGAGAACAGCCUGCGGGAGAAGAGCCAAACCUGGAGGCUGGCACUGAGGCAGCAGAUGGCAAAGACGCCUCGUUGCAGGAUGGCGCCCCUGAGCGGAAGAGCUGAGAUGCUGUCCUCUGGAGCCAGACCCUCGCCUCGGUCCUGGAACUGCCUUUGGCCAGUGAAACCUGAGACAAGCCCCAGUCUGAGAAGCUCUGAAUAGAGGGAGGAGAGAGACAUCCCCACCUUUGGGAAUCAGGCUUCAGAAGUUACCUUCAUCAGCCUUUGCUCAUUGGAGUUUCCAGGAAGAUGAGGCCGUGAGGAAUCCUGGUUCCCCAGCUCUCCGGUAGAGAGGACAAGAGAAGUCUUCCCACAUCAUGGGCCUUUUCCACAGCUUCUGGAAAUGGAAGAGCCCCAUGACAGACUGUUCUGGUUCUCGUGACUAUCUGCAGCUGAGUUGUGACUGUCCAGGGACCCCCACCUGCCUCACCGUGAACUCUGAAAGCUCUGUGGUCAUGGCGUCCAUUGGGGUGUGUGGCUCUCAGUUCUUUCUCCUUCUCUCUCUCCCUUUUGUCAAUAGCUGGCUGAAUAGCCAACAUCCCUAACAGGAAGGUUUUGCAUUUGGCUCACUCCACACUGUUCGUAUGAAUAAUUUAAUAUUUAACUUGGAGAAUUGUUAAUGAGUUAUGGGAACAAUCAGGAUCAGACUGUGAUCACGUAAACGGAAGGCCACAAGGCCUUGAUCAUCCAGUAAGUGGAGCGUUGAGAGCUGGUGGGAAGGAAGGAGGAGGGAUUUGUGUUCCUGGGUUUUUAAUCCCAGAGCAAUGUCCCUCUGCUGAUAUUCAUGUGUCUCCUCAUAUCCAAAGUCUGUCAAUUUGCACCCUCUGGCAUCUGAGCUCUCUGUAUCCAGCCUUCGAAAAUAUUUCGCUGUUUACUAACAUGUCUGUCAGCCUUUCUUUUUUCCCCCUA